Molecule: ribosomal RNA, 467 nt
Filed under: uncultured bacterium
Lineage: Bacteria
Description: partial 16S ribosomal RNA
Rfam family: Bacterial small subunit ribosomal RNA
Source: RNAcentral
GACGAACGCUGGCGGCGUGCUUAACACAUGCAAGUCGAACGGAAAGGCUCCAGCUUGCUGGAGCACUCGAGUGGCGAACGGGUGAGUAACACGUGGGUAAUCUGCCCUGCACUCUGGGAUAAGCCUGGGAAACUGGGUCUAGUACUGGAUAUGACCUUUCUCCUUAUGGGGUUUGGUGGAAAGUUUUUCGGUGUAGGAUGAGCCCGCGGCCUAUCAGCUUGUUGGUGGGGUGAUGGCCUACCAAGGCGACGACGGGUAGCCGGCCUGAGAGGGUGAUCGGCCACAUUGGGACUGAGAUACGGCCCAGACUCCUACGGGAGGCAGCAGUGGGGAAUAUUGCACAAUGGGCGGAAGCCUGAUGCAGCGACGCCGCGUGAGGGAUGACGGCCUUCGGGUUGUAAACCUCUUUCAGCAGGGACGAAGCGUAAGUGACGGUACCUGCAGAAGAAGCACCGGCUAACUAUGUG